AAUCCCUAGAUCGCCUCCAUUCCCCAUCGGGCCUGGCUACACCUCCAUCUCCCUCACCCCUCCUUCUCCACCUCCAACCGCCGCCACGGCCAGGCCGGCGUGGUGGUGCGCCUCCGCAGCCCCUCCAUCUACCAUACCACUAGCACCCAGCGCCAUCCAUUCACCAGCACCAACAUCAGCAUCCACCACUCACCACCAUCUCCAGCCACUGCCGCACCUCGCGCGGACGUCCAGACACAGGGGUUGCGGGCGUCUGAUCCCCCGCGCGCCUCCACCUGCUUGCUCUGCCUGCUGAUCCUCUUUGCUGCUGCUCCUUUUCAUGCGCCCCUACUGCUGCAGCCUCUUCUUCCCGCCGCUGCUUGCUGCCUUCUCUUUCAAUCCCUUUUGCAGCUGCUCUUCUUCUACUGCGCCCCCUGCUGCUCUCUCAACGCUGCUGCUCCUUCUCCAUCUCCCAACUGCAUGCUGCGCCUCUGCUGAAGCCUUCUCUGAACUCCCUGCUGCUGCUUCUCUUCCUUACCUCCGCUGCUGCUGCUGCUCUCUCUCUCUCAACCUUCUCUGAACCUGCUGCUGAACCCCACGCUCCUGCUGCUCUUCUUCACCAACUGAAGUUGCUGUUGCUUUCUCUCUCUCUUUCUCUCUGUAAUUCAUAAGAAAUAGUACUGUACAAUUAUGUGACUGUUUUAGACUUGUGCUUGUGAGGUGUUCUUUUGUUGAUGUGUAAGAACUAGCUAUAUAUGUCAUAUAUAUUCUGUACUUGCUGAUGAUUGGUCUCCAGUUUAUUGUUCUUGUGAUAUAAAUACAUACGUGUGUGUGUUUGAUGUGAAACAAUUAUAUAUAUGUGGCCUAUUUGUCAGUUAGUGGUUUGUAUAAAUUCAGAUUACUUCUAGUGAUUUUAUUCCGUAUUGAAAUUGCUCUCUGUGGUAGUCAGUUGUGUGAUCAUUUAAUUUUCAGGCUCUGUUAUAGCUUUGUCCGUAUGAUAAAUAUGUUUGUGAUGUGAAACAUAUCUGUCUAUGUCUUAUAAUCUUGUUUUUUCCCUCUUUUGCUUGUCAUUUCCAGUACUAGUUCAUGUUGUGUUGUUUCCUUUUGUGUUAGUGAUUUAGUGUCUUAAGUAAAACAAGAAAAUGCCAAAAAGACAGUGAUUGCAUUCUUAUCUCUCCUAUAUGCUUGUUUGCACCUUCUUUGUCGAUGAUUUUCCGAAAUAUGAUAGUUUAGGUUUAUUUCCCUGCAAUCAUCAUUUCAAUUGUGUUACCUAGAUUUAGCCGAGCAUAGCCGCUGAUUUGCCUAGUCCCUGUGGAGAACACGACAUUCGUAGUUUGGGCGUAAAACCCCACUAUACUUACAACUGAUCACAGCCGCUCAUCGUCCACAACUUUAUUAAUCUCUACUCCUAAUGUAUGAGUUGGUUGAAUAGUAUGGUUUUUUUCGUCCCAUCACUUUCAAUUGUUUUAUUUUGCUGGUUUUUUUUCGUCCCACCUCCCACCGCCAUAUCCUCAUGUUGAUUUUUUUACCAUCCCAACAAAAACUUUUCUAACCUUUUCAAACUUUCCUAACUAGAUAUGUUACAAAUAGGCAGGAUCCGAUAGCACUUACCAAACAAUAAAUUUUAGUUUCAUAGCAAUCAAUUCCAAAUCUUAACUUUCCUAAUUUAUCGAUCCUCGCCUUUUCUAACAACAAAUAUCUCUCUUCGAGUUGGUAGUUCGAUACGCAUGAUUUUUUCAGCCUCCACCUCCCACCACCACCUCAUCGUUGGUUUUCUCUCCCAUGAAACCGAAUCGCAUGACCCUUCCCAUCCUAUGUCGCUCGACCCUCUAUCUUCUUCUAGGUUCACCGCCACCGCGUGCCCCACCAAAAUCGCUUGAGUGAAGAUCAAUCCAUCCAGAUUGGAUUGAUCUGUCGGUGACGAACCCUGCCUAGAUUGGAUUAGUUCGGGUGUGAGAGGCCACCGGACGUGGUGACUGUGUGCGAGCGCUCUAAUCGAAUCGAAUCCCGCCACCGGUCUCGUCCACGUAGCCAUGGCCGAUGAUCACUUAUGUUGUGGCUGCGUCCCUCUUCGGACGGUGAUGAUGUUAGAGGGAGCCGCUGGCGCUGGCUAGGCUCCCGAGUCCCGACCGAUCGCGUCGGCUCGCUGCUCCUCACUCAGUAGUUGCCAAGGAGGCUCGGGAAGAUAAAGGAGAAGGAGACUAACGGCGUGCGGCACAUGAAGGGCCCAAGGAGUAAGUGACAGGAUUCUGUUCCGGCCUUCUCUCUAACUCACCAAGGUAAUCAAUCUCAUGCUGAAUCUUUUGGUGCUAUUCUGUUCUUGCUAGGUAGUAGAAAAUGGAACAUUGUCAGACAUAUUUUGACAGCUAUAGACUUUCCGUUGUUGAUUCUUUUUAGUUCUAUACGAAGAAUGAAUUAAUUGUAUUGCGAUGUAUAUUGUUGUAUAUGACAAGAUGAAUCAAUUGGCGGCACUUAUGUAUCUGUGAAUGAUGUCAUGGACCAUUUGCAGGUCGUCCGCACUAGGGUGUUUGGUCAAGAUGGUGUUACUGCAGGUGGACGAUGUGCUCGAGCACCUGGAGAGUGUUGAGAAAUGACUUGUGCACCUUGAGGAAGGAGCGGUUAGACCGUGCAUGGGAAGGAAUCAACAUGUGUAGGUGGAAAGAGGGGGGAUUCAUAUUGGGCCAUGUUUGCAAGGAGACCAUCCAGGACAAACAAUCAGGAAGGGAAGUAUAGAUAUUGAAAAGAGAGCUCGGACAUGGUGUCGAGAAUGGAAAGGAGGGGUAGAAUUAUUAUUUUUCUUCUAAAUAGAGUGUGGUUAAAGAGACACGACAAUUAUUGAUAGAGAGAAAAAGCCGAAAAAUGAGUUUGUUGUUAUACGGAUGGAAAGCAUAUCACAUCAUGGAAAGCAUAUUUCACAAUGCUUGACAUAUUAUUUUAUGAAAUAGAACAAUUGUUUUAUCA
This is a long non-coding RNA of Triticum aestivum (bread wheat), 2940 nucleotides long. RefSeq lists it as uncharacterized. Lineage: Eukaryota; Viridiplantae; Streptophyta; Magnoliopsida; Poales; Poaceae. The transcript has 2 exons. The record is from RefSeq and is a predicted model, not a curated record.